This 198-nucleotide ribosomal RNA is filed under the name uncultured bacterium. RNAcentral's name for it is "partial 16S ribosomal RNA". It matches the Rfam family "Bacterial small subunit ribosomal RNA", at positions 328 to 539 of the family's 1533-position model. The record is from RNAcentral.
ACGCUCGACACCUACGGGAGGCAGCAGUGAGGGAUAUUGGUCAAUGGGGGAAACCCUGAACCAGCAACGCCGCGUGAGGGAUGACGGUCUUCGGAUUGUAAACCUCUGUCCUCUGUGAAGAUAAUGACGGUAGCAGAGGAGGAAGCUCCGGCUAACUACGUGCCAGUAGCCGCGGUAAUCUGAGCGGGCUGGCAAGGC